Molecule: ribosomal RNA, 37 nt
Filed under: Brassica oleracea var. oleracea
Lineage: Eukaryota; Viridiplantae; Streptophyta; Magnoliopsida; Brassicales; Brassicaceae
Description: rRNA LSU_rRNA_eukarya
Source: RNAcentral
GGCUGGGGCGGCACAUCUGUUAAAAGAUAACGCAGGU